GUAGGGAGCGAGCGUUAUCCGGAUUCAUUGGGCGUAAAGCGCGCGUAGGCGGCCCGUCAAGCGGGGUUUCAAAUCCAGGGGCUCAACCUCUGGCCGGAUCCCGAACUGGGAGGCUCGAGUUCGGUAGAGGCAGGCGGAAUUCCCGGUGUAGCGGUGGAAUGCGCAGAUAUCGGGAAGAACACCGAUGGCGAAGGCAGCCUGCUGGGCCGCAACUGACGCUGAGGCGCGAAAGCUAGGGGAGCGAACAGGAUUAGAUACCCUGGUAGUCCUAGCCGUAAACGAUGGAUACUAGGUGUGGGGGGCUCCGCCCUCCGUGCCGCAGCCAACGCAUUAAG
This 335-nucleotide ribosomal RNA is filed under the name uncultured bacterium. Its description in RNAcentral is "bacterial SSU rRNA". It matches the Rfam family "Bacterial small subunit ribosomal RNA", at positions 527 to 864 of the family's 1533-position model. The record is from RNAcentral.